UGGGUUGGCCAAAAAGUUCGUUUGGGUUUUUGUGCAACUCCUUACGGAAAAACGUGAAUAAACUUUUUGCCCAACC
This 76-nucleotide microRNA precursor is filed under the name Tursiops truncatus (common bottlenose dolphin). RNAcentral's name for it is "miRNA (ENSTTRG00000025082.1)". Lineage: Eukaryota; Metazoa; Chordata; Mammalia; Artiodactyla; Delphinidae. The record is from RNAcentral.